RNAcentral lists this unclassified non-coding RNA (240 nucleotides) under soil metagenome. Its description in RNAcentral is "partial contains 5.8S ribosomal RNA, internal transcribed spacer 2, and large subunit ribosomal RNA". The record is from RNAcentral.
AACCAUAGAAACCUGCGGAGUACCUGCGGCGGGAUCAUUACAGAGUUGCAAAACUCCCUAAACCAUUGUGAACGUUACCUAAACCGUUGCUUCGGCGGGCGGCCCGGGUCCUUCCCGGCGCCCAUCGGCCCUCGCGGGCGCCCGCCGGAGGUAAACCAAACUAUUGCAUUGUAUGGCCUCUCUGAGUCUUCUGUACUGAAUAAGUCAAAACUUUCAACAACGGAUCUCAGAUCGGAAGAG